UACGGAGGGUGCAAGCGUUAUCCGGAUUCACUGGGUUUAAAGGGUGCGUAGGUGGGCUGGUAAGUCAGUGGUGAAAUCUCCAGGCUUAACUUGGAAACUGCCAUUGAUACUAUCAGUCUUGAAUACCGUGGAGGUCAGCGGAAUAUGUCAUGUAGCGGUGAAAUGCUUAGAUAUGACAUAGAACACCAAUUGCGAAGGCAGCUGGCUACACGAAUAUUGACACUGAUGCACGAAAGCGUGGGGAUCAAACAGG
RNAcentral lists this ribosomal RNA (253 nucleotides) under uncultured bacterium. Its description in RNAcentral is "partial 16S ribosomal RNA". It matches the Rfam family "Bacterial small subunit ribosomal RNA", at positions 524 to 776 of the family's 1533-position model. The record is from RNAcentral.